This 425-nucleotide ribosomal RNA is filed under the name uncultured bacterium. Its description in RNAcentral is "bacterial SSU rRNA". It matches the Rfam family "Bacterial small subunit ribosomal RNA", at positions 354 to 796 of the family's 1533-position model. The record is from RNAcentral.
GUGGGGAAUAUUGGACAAUGGGCGCAAGCCUGAUCCAGCCAUGCCGCGUGAGUGAUGAAGGCCUUAGGGUUGUAAAGCUCUUUCAGUAGGGAAGAUAAUGACGGUACCUACAGAAGAAGCCCCGGCUAACUUCGUGCCAGCAGCCGCGGUAAUACGAAGGGGGCUAGCGUUGUUCGGAUUUACUGGGCGUAAAGCGCACGUAGGCGGAUUGGUCAGUUAGAGGUGAAAUCCCGAAGCUCAACUUCGGAACUGCCUUUAAUACUGCCAGUCUCGAGUCCGGAAGAGGUGAGUGGAACUCCUAGUGUAGAGGUGGAAUUCGUAGAUAUUAGGAAGAACACCAGUGGCGAAGGCGGCUCACUGGUCCGGUACUGACGCUGAGGUGCGAAAGCGUGGGGAGCAAACAGGAUUAGAAACCCCAGUAGUCC